GCUGGGUGUUAUGGGGACGCCUGUAAUCCCCACUACUUGGGAGGCUGAGGCAAGAUAAUCACUUGAGCCCAAGAGUUUGAGGUUGCUGUGAGCUGUGCUACCAUGGCAUUCUACUGAGGGUGACAUAAGAGACUCUGUCUCAAAAUUUUCUCCCUUUUCCAACUUUUUUUUUUUUUUUUUUUUUUGAGACAGUCUUACUUUGUCACCCUGGGUAGAGUGCCAUGGCAUCACAGCUCACAGCAACCUCAAACUCUUGGGCUCAAGUGAUUAUCUUGCCUCAG
This 281-nucleotide signal recognition particle RNA is filed under the name Otolemur garnettii (small-eared galago). RNAcentral describes it as "Metazoan signal recognition particle RNA". It matches the Rfam family "Metazoan signal recognition particle RNA". From Rfam's summary of the family: The signal recognition particle (SRP) is a universally conserved ribonucleoprotein. It is involved in the co-translational targeting of proteins to membranes. Lineage: Eukaryota; Metazoa; Chordata; Mammalia; Primates; Galagidae. The record is from Rfam by way of RNAcentral.